RNAcentral lists this ribosomal RNA (255 nucleotides) under Nakaseomyces glabratus. Its description in RNAcentral is "[Candida] glabrata partial 26S ribosomal RNA". It matches the Rfam family "Eukaryotic large subunit ribosomal RNA", at positions 267 to 526 of the family's 3401-position model. Lineage: Eukaryota; Fungi; Ascomycota; Saccharomycetes; Saccharomycetales; Saccharomycetaceae. The record is from RNAcentral.
GAGUUGUUUGGGAAUGCAGCUCUAAGUGGGUGGUAAAUUCCAUCUAAAGCUAAAUACAGGCGAGAGACCGAUAGCGAACAAGUACAGUGAUGGAAAGAUGAAAAGAACUUUGAAAAGAGAGUGAAAAAGUACGUGAAAUUGUUGAAAGGGAAGGGCAUUUGAUCAGACAUGGUGUUUUGCGCCCCUUGCCUCUCGUGGGCUUGGGACUCUCGCAGCUCACUGGGCCAGCAUCGGUUUUGGCGGCCGGAAAAAACC